RNAcentral lists this long non-coding RNA (215 nucleotides) under Panax ginseng (ginseng). Its description in RNAcentral is "long non-coding RNA (PGIN_LNC016936)". The record is from RNAcentral. Lineage: Eukaryota; Viridiplantae; Streptophyta; Magnoliopsida; Apiales; Araliaceae.
UUGGCUAGUGAAGCUCAACUGUUGAUUUGUAAUAUUACAUAUAUCAGAUGCCAAGUACAAAGUUAAAACUUGUAGCAAUUCUUAAUAAGAUCCAUAACUAGAAUCAGAAGGACUUGGUAAUACUGUGAAAAUAAUCACUCUUUCAAUUUCGUAGUCUGCGCCAUUCUUCAAUGAGCAUGCAUCAUUGACAAAUUGCACUACUUGGAAGUUGGAAC